CUCUUAGGAAUCUCUUGAAACAUCAGGAAGGUAGUUUUAGUAGGUCUAUUGAGAAUUAUGGCUCUGAAGAAGAGAUACGUAGCGAUCCUGGUUAUGUAGCUUACUAUUUGUCCAACAUCAACCUGAAUCCGAGGCUCCCUCCUCCGUUGAUCUCACGUGAGAAUCAGCACUUGCUGCGUCAUUUGGGUGGUGAUGGUAAUAACCUGAGUCCAACAGCGUCUUGGGAUGAUAUGGGGGUAAGAUCUUCCUUGCUUGCUUCUAGAACUGCGCUUUCUACACAUAGAGAGGAGCCUGAGGACGAGGCUUCUUCUGGUGAACAGCUGACUUUUGCUUCUUUGCCUGGUCGUCGUAAGAGCUUUGCUGAUAUCAUUCAGGUACUGCUUGAUUCUAUCACUUAAUUUAAUUUUACAUUAAAGAAGAUUCUCUCUUUUAACGCUUUCUUUUGUGUUCAAGCGGCCUCAUUCGGCAGGGAACCAUCCAACAGCAGAAGACAUACAUGCCAUUUCUUCUGGUAUAGCUUCAGAAAGGACAAGAAGAGUACCAGAGUCUGAUAUAAGUGUGGUGAAUCUUCUGAGGGAGACAGAUUCUCUCUCCAUGGAGGCUAUUGCUAGUGAAGAUCCUUUUACCUCUGAGUUGAGCUCACAAAGUUCAACCAACACUCAGAAUGAGAGAUCAAAUGCGAGGGUAGGGAGCCGCGAGGACAACAAUCUAUCUGCUUUUGGUGCUUCUGGUCCAUCCUCUGCUGCUUCUAGAAUGAGGGGGAACCAAGAAGAGCCAAGGAGAAUGCCUGUGCAAUAUACGCCUUCAUCGUAUCAGGUUCAAGCUACUUCGCCACAACAAAUGACCUAUCCGAGGAUGGGUGGUGGUACACACGACAUGAUGCAGAACCUGCCUAGGAUUGCAACUGGAGAGGUACAUUCGAGUUUCCAAUCUCCUCACGGUUUGACAUCGCCUCCUAUGUAUACAUCAACAGCUGCAUAUAUGACAUCUCUGAGCCCGUUUUACAAUCAUAACUUUCAGUCCUCGGGUAUGUACCUCCCUCAGUAUGGUUAUAGCGGUUACCCUCCUGCCUCUGGUGUUGUCCCUCAGUAUAUGAGUGGAUACCCAUCUCAUGAAGCCACUGUUCCUAUGCCAUAUGAUAUCUCAUCGCCUUCUUCGGGCUACAACAACUCCUUCUCUCGUGAAUCCUUUUCACCUACUGCACAGAACACUCCUCUUCAAUCUGUUUGGUGAGAUUGGGCACCAACUUGAUCACCUCAUCAGCCUCUUCCACACGCUUACGCAGGCGUUCGAUCUCCUCCUGGACGCCUAUUACCCAAGGCUGACGAUAAUGAAAUCCAUCAGCCUUGGGGACAACAAAAAAAAACAUCAGACAACAUAAAAAAAAAAUUCUAUACUAAUAUAUGCGUCUGUUGAGGUAUCUCUUACCUCGUAGUUUAUGCAGCUGAAGAAGCGCUUCCCAGGAUGAGUGUCGUGCUCCUCCUUCACCCGAACCUCGUCAAUGAUUCUCCCACCACAGGGACAUCUUCUAGGAAUCCCAUAUUCAGAAUCUGCGACGUAUCCCAACAUGUUGCAGUACUCCUGAUGCCUCUUUGUAUCUCUUCUCUCCUCUGCGGGAUCCAUCUGAACCAGACAAGCAAACGGCUUACAACAAAAUCACAAAAUUAUAUCAUGAACGGAACCCAUAAUGGAACCCACUAUUCGAUAACAAAACGCUUCGAUCUAACCCAAAAUGAAACCCAGAUGACGAUUCGGAACCCUAGAAUCGAAACCCCCAAAACUCGAGUUUGAACCCUACCUCCAAUACCCCACUAAUCGACAACUAAACGGUUCGAUCUUACCCAAAAUGUAACCCAGAUGACGAUUUGGAACCCUAGAAUCGAAACCCCCAAAAUCGAGUUUGAACCCUAAUUUGAGAACCCCACUAAUCGACAUCAAAACGCUUCGAUCUAACGGGUAUUCACUCGACACACACCUAUUCUCGUCGAGGAGACACUCCGUCGUCGAUUCGAUGGAGAAAAGUGGAGAAACGUGAAGAAAAAUCAAAAUCGCUCGAGAGUUCGCCUCUCGGGAGAAAACCCUAGUCUUUUCUGGAAAAUGAGAAAAUGAAUUUCUCUCUGUUUUCGUCGUCGUGACGUCAACAACGCGGCGCCAAUGGAACCGUGACACCUGGCGUGAACCCGCCUCAUACCGAAUCACUUGUAAGAAGCGGGUCGCGGAAAUAAACCCAUUAAAACAUUUCUUUUUCCUAUUCGGGCCUAUGAACCCGAGCCCAUGAACCCCAUUACAACCUUCAAUGUGGAUGCUCUAAAAACUAUAAAUGAGAACAUUAUAAAUCUGAAUACUUCUUCUGUUUUUAAAGAUUAUUACUCGUAUAAUUCUUGUAAAAAUUCUAAUUAGUGGCUAAAAAGAAAAGAAGAAAAAUAAACAAAAGUGUGUAUUGUGUGUAUUUUGGUGGUAGCGAGCAAACAGGCAACAGAGACAGAGCCACGUGAACGUAUCUCUUUCAAUUACAAGUCUCAACACGUGUCGAACCUAGUCAUCACUUUUAGAACAAAUUGACGAAAAAGGGCUUGCGGUACCACCAUUAUCAAAACCAUACAGGGGGUGUUCCAGUCAUUACCUAGUUAAGAGGACGUCUUCGUGUGCGAAUCCGUCGUGAUUCUUAAUUAAGUUUUGGUUAAUGUUUUGUUAAAAUACGUAAAAAUUAAAGAUUAACAUCCCAAUAAUUGCCUUUAGAAAUUAAAGAAAAAAAACAUUAACUCUUGACUUGGUGACUCGACGAAAGCCUUGGAGACAAACUUUUCAAAGGGGUUAGUUUUAAUCUCUCUGGGUCUCAUCUCAUCGCUGCAACAAUUUCAUAUCAAGAAAAAAAAACACUUUCAUGGAGGCUUAAACAUCACCACCAUCAGGUAACUCUUUAACUCUUAGCUUCAGCCUAAGUUUUUGUGUUCUUUCACAAGUUAUGCAAGGAGCUAGUUUUAAAUGAAUAAAGAAGGAUAAAGUGAAGUUUCUGUUUAUUAGAAUUUUGAUCCUCGGUUAUAUAUGGGACUUUUACUCUUUGUAACGAGGUUGAUGAACGAGUCCAGUACUUUUAAAAAGAUGAUCCUUGUAAGUUCUUGCUGAUGGUUGUUUGGGUUGACUAAACUUUUUUAGCUUGUGAAAUGGUAGAAUCGUGUCUGAAAUUUUUCGAUCCUUGAUUGUCGAUUACACAUAGACUCAAAAAUAAACGUUGAUCAUUGAAAGUUUGGGAUCAAGUUCUCAGCUUUUUGAUUCUCUUAUGGACUAAGGUUUUAGCUUUACCCUUUUUGGGUUAGGUAGUAUUAUUAUUAUGUAAUCAAUCACCUUGUCUGAAAAUUUUGAAUUUGUUUUGGUUGAUGUAUAGAAAGUAUGACGACGCAGAGCGCUAUGAGGAUGGUGGAAGGUGAUCAUGUAAAAAGUUGGCAGGCUUCCUCUAGGGAUACUAGUGGGAUAUUUGGUUCACAUGAUAUGGCUGUUGAAGAUUUAAGGUUCCUUAUGGAAAGAAAUAGAUUGGAUAGUAGUGGAAGUGAUCAUACAGGUAAGAUCCCUAGUAGGAGUGGAAGCGCGCCGCCUAGCAUGGAAGGUUCAUUUGCAGCUCUUAGGAAUCUCUUGAAACAUCAGGAAGGUAGUUUUAGUAGGUCUAUUGAGAAUUAUGGCUCUGAAGAAGAGAUACGUAGCGAUCCUGGUUAUGUAGCUUACUAUUUGUCCAACAUCAACCUGAAUCCGAGGCUCCCUCCUCCGUUGAUCUCACGUGAGAAUCAGCACUUGCUGCGUCAUUUGGGUGGUGAUGGUAAUAACCUGAGUCCAACAGCGUCUUGGGAUGAUAUGGGGAUAAGAUCUUCCUUGCUUGCUUCUAGAACUGCGCUUUCUACACAUAGAGAGGAGCCUGAGGACGAGGCUUCUUCUGGUGAGCAACUGACUUAUGCUUCUUUGCCUGGUCGUCGUAAGAGCUUUGCUGAUAUCAUUCAGGUACUGCUUGAUUCUAUCACUUGUUUCUAAAAAUAUUAAGGAAGAUUCUCUCUUUUAACACUUUCUUUUGUGUUCAAGCGGCCUCAUUCGGCAGGGAACCAUCCAAUAGCAGAAGACAUCCAUGCCAUUUCUUCUGGUAUAGCUUCAGAAAGGACAAGAAGGUUACCAGAGUCUGAUGUAAGUUCGGUGAAUCUUCUGAGGGAGACAGAUUCUCUCUCCAUGGAGGCUAUUGCUAGUGAAGAUCCUUUUACCUCUGAGUUGAGCUCACAAAGUUCAACCAACACGCAGAAUGAGAGAUCAAAUGCGAGGGUAGGGAGCCGCGAGGACAACAAUCUAUCUGCUUUUGGUGCUUCUGGUCCAUCCUCUGCUGCUUCUAGAAUGAGGGGGAACCAAGAAGAGCCAAGGAGAAUGCCUGUGCAAUACACACCUUCAUCAUACCAGGUUCAAGCUACUUCGCCUCAACAAAUGACCUAUCCGAGGAUGGGUGGUGGUACACACGACAUGAUGCAGAACUUGCCAAGGAUUGCAACUGGAGAGGUACAUUCGACUUUCCAAUCUCCUCACGGUUUGACAUCGCCUCCUAUGUAUACAUCUACAGCUGCAUACAUGACAUCUCUGAGCCCGUUUUACAAUCAUCAUAACUUUCAGUCCUCUGGCAUGUACCUCCCUCAGUAUAAUUACGGCGGUUACCCUCCUGUCUCUGGCGUUGUCCCUCAGUAUAUGAGUGGAUACCCAUCUCAUGAAGCUACCGUUCCUAUGCCAUAUGAUAUCUCAUCGCCUUCUUCGGGCUACAACAACUCCUUCUCUCGUGGAUCCUUUUCACCUACUGCACAGAACACUCCUCUAGUGGAUCCUUUUCAGUUGCAAUAUUAUCAACAGGCUCAAGCAGAGGCAUAUGCUCCUUCAUUUGAUUCGUUCGGGAAGCAAGACCAACAAGCUGCUGGCUUUAUGGCGGCCAAUCAAGAACCUCACAGCAAUCCAUUGAGUCCAAGUUUUGGGUUGCAAAGUCCACGGCACAUGGGAAACUACUUUGCAGUGCCUCCGGGUGUGAGAGUCAUGCAGCAGUAUCCAGGAUCACCUCUUGCUAGUCCAGUGAUGCCAUCCUCACCUGUUGGUGGUGGGAUGAUGAGCCAAUUUGGAAGACGAAGUGAAACAAGGUAUCAUCAUCAACAAGGACCUAGUAGAAACACAGGGAUCUACCCUGGUGGUGGAUGGCAAGGGAACAGAGGAGGAGCCAGCAGCAGUGUUGUUGAUGAUUUUAAAAGACAUUCUUUUCUUGAUGAACUCAAGUCUCCAAAUGCUCGUAAAAUGGAGCUGUCUGAUAUCACAGGGCGUGUUAUUGAGUUCAGGUAGUGUUUCUAUCGUUUUCUUUAAUUCUGAGUUAGUAUUUUGAAAGCAUCAAAAGAUAAUAUCAUUUUGCUACUCGUUUUUUUUCUUGACUUCAGCGUUGAUCAGCAUGGAAGCCGGUUUAUUCAACAGAAGUUGGAGCACUGCUCUGAUGAGGAGAAGGCAUCUGUUUUCAGUGAGGUUCUUCCACAAGCUUCGAAAUUGAUGACUGAUGUCUUUGGAAAUUAUGUUAUCCAAAAGGUGAGCCACUUUUUCUUUUAUAUUGGAAAGUUUAUUUUUCUCCAUUAUAAGUUUGUUGAUAGAUAGUGAUGUGUGGAUCAGUUCAUAGAACAUGGAACUCCAGCGCAGAGGGAAGAGCUUGUGAAGCAACUUGCUGGUCAGAUGGUUUCUCUAAGUUUGCAGAUGUAUGGAUGUCGUGUGAUACAAAAGGUAAAUAAGUAAUAUUAGUUUCCCUAUAUCAAUGCAGUAUCUGAAGUAAAUGGUUGUUAAAUUGAUAGGCCCUUGAAGUGAUAGAUGUUGACCAAAAGACAGAACUGACUCGUGAGCUAGAUGGGAAUGUGCUGAAGUGUGUUAGAGACCAAAACGGAAAUCAUGUUAUUCAAAAGUGUAUAGAGAGUAUGCCUGCUUCUAGGAUUGGAUUCAUAAUUUCAGCUUUCCGUGGUCAAGUUGCCACUCUUUCUACUCAUCCUUAUGGAUGCCGAGUCAUCCAGGUAAAUGGAUUUAGUGUGAGGCUUUCUUGUGUGGUUGUGACUUGAAAUAUUCACUCUUUCUCCUUCCUAUAGAGAAUCUUGGAGCAUUGCUCAGAUGAUGAGGAGACUCGUUGUAUAAUCGAUGAAAUCUUGGAGUCUGCUUUUGCUCUUGCUCAUGAUCAAUAUGGGAACUAUGUCACUCAGGUAUGAUUUUUCUCUGAUCAGUGUCUCCCUUGUAUCUCAUUGUGUUCUUAGUCUUUGGUUUCGUGUCUUUAUAGCAUGUCCUGGAGAGAGGGAGGCCCGACGAAAGGAGACAGAUCAUUGAGAAGUUGACAGGGAACGUUGUUCAGAUGAGUCAGCACAAAUACGCGUCCAACGUUGUGGAGAAGUGUCUGGAACAUGCUGAUAGUACCGAGAGAGAGUUACUGAUUGAAGAGAUAAUGGGAAAAUCGGAGGAAGACAAUCACUUGCUGGUAAGAACACAACCGUAAAAAAAAAAAAACUCUCUGGAACCACUUUGGACUUUAUUUAACAUUCUAUUUUUCUUCCCCAGGCGAUGAUGAAAGAUCAGUAUGCAAAUUAUGUGGUCCAGAAAGUAUUGGAGAUCAGUAAAGAUGAGCAAAGGGAGAUCCUGGUACAGAGAAUGAAAAUUCAUCUCGAGAGUUUGAGGAAGUACACAUAUGGAAAACACAUAGUAGCCCGAUUCGAACAACUGUUUGGUGAAGGUAUUUGCUUUCUCUAACACCAAAACCUUAUAGCAAGUUUGUGGUCUAAAGUUCUGAACUGUUUGAUGUGUCAAUGUUGCAGAGAGUGAAGCUUCGGAAGGAGGAGCAGAAGGUUAGACAAGAGGUUUCAUUUGGGUUGCAGAUAAAGGACAAUGUUGGGGUUGUUAGAAGAAUAAAUAUAUAUAUUUGAAAAUGCUUUAUGUAUAUAUGUGCUUGUAACUAUGAAUGGAAGUGUGUGAUGGUUUGUGUAUAUGAUGUGUGGACAUAAUUUGUGGUUAUUGAUUUGCUCUUUUCUUCUGACUGAGAACAACAUAGAGUAGAGGAUAGUUUAACCUUAACAAAAAAAAAAGAAUUCAUAAUUUGUGGUUAUUGAUUUGCUCUUUUCUUCUGACUGAGAAAGAACAACAUAGAGGAUAGUUUAGCCUUAACAGAAAAAAAGAAUUCAGCUUCUUACUACUCAUGGGAAUCAAAACACUCCCUAAGUGCCAAAAAAACAUCUCAUGUGGCAAAGCCAAGCCACCUCAUUCAUAAAUUAAGAAAUGUGAUGAAGCGGCUUAACUUCAAGUAACAACAAUGGUAAUCUAAAAGUUUCAGUUUCGUCAUUAUAUGAGUGGUUUGGUGUUGGAGGCGAGCAAAAUAUCUUUCCAGGCUUCGUAGAAGACCCAAGUGAUGCCUGAAGACGGCAUGACUUUCAAACAACUUGCUCCCCAACCUCUGUAGAGUCCCAUCACUCCUCUUUCCUUCACUACUUCUGCUAUUGCCGCUGCCAUGUUCGGUGGACAUUCCCCCUUCAGAGCUCCCACCAUCAACCGCUUCCUCGCCACUUCCAAGGGGAAGCUAAUGGUGCUAGCCGUUAGACCUGACACAACAUUCACAAUCCAAUGAGUCGAGAGAAACCAAAAGAAACUUUUGUUUUAUUCAUUUACCGGCUAGAGCUCCGAGAAGAAGCAUCUCAGGACGGCUUAAAGCCUUCUUGUUCUUGGAUUUGCAGUAAGUGGUUUUCAUAGUGUCAUACAUGAAGUAAUAACAUGUGCUGUACGGAAGCAUCCCGACCAGUGUUGGCCCCAAGCCAGCGUAGAAUCCACGGAUUCCAUCGUCUCUUAGAAUCCUUGGAACUGCGAGUCUUAAGCUUGGAUAAAUCUCAGGGCUCACAGUCAAUCUAUCCUGGUAAAAGAUCAUAAAAAAAUCAGUCUCUUAUAACAACAACGAGAAAAGCUUUUACAUGAUUGCAGUGGAUUUUGAUCGAACCUUGAGGACUUCGAGAGGAUGGCAGACGAGUGUACUGGCAACACCUGCAGCUGCACCAGCAACAGCAACGGGAGAGAGCCAGGAGAUGGAUGGACUGAAACUAAAGUCAGCAAUCUCAAUCUUUGCCUGCUCAAUCUUCUUCAGCUUCUCUUGCGCUGAUGUCAUGACACGCUUUACACACUCAAAAGUGCUCAACUCAAUGGCUUGGGUUGGGAUGAUACGAAUCAUGUUGAUCUCGUUGCCAGCCCAAAGACCCACCCACCCUUGCUUCUGUAUGAUUUCCACAAAGCUACCUGGAAUGGUUCUGGAUCCAACACCAACAAUCAUCCUUGUCCUGCCAGGUUCCACAGAGCAACAAAGCAGUUAAGACAAAAAGUUCAUUGAGGAGAUAACAAGGUGUGGAGUAAUGCAGACCUUAUUGUUUCAAGUGGAGCAAGAACAGCUUUAGUCAUAGCUCCGGCUAAAGCCCCACUCAGAAACUCACGAGCUUCCCGAGACUUGAAGAAAUCCUGAAUCAAACAACAGAGAGAAACAUCAUAUCAUACAUUGGUUUCCCCAUCAGACAACAAAACAACACAAGACUCAAAAGCGAAGCAAGAGGAAACAAAAAGGAACUGACUUUAACAGGAAUGGUAAAGUCAGGAAACUGAGGCUGGAGAGGAAGAGGAGACUCCGAUGGAGCAGAGGAAACAGAGUCCUUCACCAUAGCAACGAACCCUUCUUUCGGUACAGCCAUUGUCAUUAUCUCUCUCUCUAUCUGACUCCUGAUUAAUCUGUCUUUCGAGGAGAUUCAAAAAAGGGACAAAAGAUAGAAUAUGCAGUUAAAACAUAACUAUAAAAAGAAGAAAUCUUUUUUCAGAUUGAGAAGAGAUCUAAAAGAGUUUUGUUUGAGGAUGAGACAGAGAUAGUCUCUGUGAACAUGCUGCUGCAAGUGAAGAUUUUAUGGGAAAGAAUUAACCUUUUUAGGGUUUAUGUGGGGUGCUCAUUUCUCCAACAAAUAUCUUUUGUUUUGUUUGUAAGCUGUAACCGGUUAAAUACGGUUUAUCAGCCGGUUCGGUCCAACCUUUUAGAAUACGGUUUUGUAAAAAUUGUUAAUCGAGACGGUGAAGUGAGGAGCCGCCGAGUCUUAUCCGAUCAAAUUACUCUCUCACUCGCAAUCAAAGCUCGACGAAGAUGUCUUGCUUGGUCGUCUCAUCAACUUGCUCGCUCCUCCCCUUCGACUCUCGUUCAACUCGUUCCAGCAAACUCGGCUCUUCACUUUCAUGGCAAUCUUCAUUUCCCAAAUUCUCCAUAGAUAUCGGCUCUGUUAUCUCCUCUCCCAUUGUCAAGAAGGUAAAAAGCCUUCUCAUUGAGUUGUCUGUACAGAGAAUCACUAGCUAUAGUUUCAUAACUUUGUAUGUUUGAGCUUGUUCUGUAAUUUCUGGUUUUGAAGUCAGAUUCUCUCUUCAAAGUUCAUUGCUUUUUUUCUGUAGGGUAUGUAAAAAUUCAUUCAAAGUUUCAUAAUUGAUCUUAGCUUGGUUUUGCUUUGUGAUGUUCUUGAUUUUGUAGCUUAGUGUGUGUUCUUGUUGCAUGUUUGAACUCGUUCUGUAAUUUCUGGGUUUGAAGUCAGAAUCUAGGGUUCUGUUUGAUUCUCUUCAAAUUUCAUUACUUUAUCUAUAGGGUAUGUAAGAUUUCAUUCAAAGUUUCUUUCUUUAUCUAUUUAAGGUUUGUUUUGAUGGGUUGUUUAGGAUUCUUUUAUUCAAGCUGCCUGGACUAGGAGAUCACGUGGCGAAGCAGCGAAAAGACCCAACAAGAAGUCAUGGAAGCAGAGAACAGACAUGUACAUGAGACCUUUCCUUCUGAAUGUCUUCUUCUCAAGGAAGUUCAUUCACGCCAAAGUUAUGCAUAGACCAACUAGCAAAGUCAUCUCGGUUGCCACCACUAACGCAAGAGAUAUAAGGACGAACAUACCGUCUCUUGUGGAUGACGAAGCGUGCAGACUAAUCGGCAAGCUCAUAGCUGAGCGUUCAAUGGAAGCAGACGUCUACGCUGUGUCCUAUGAGCCAAGAAAGGGAGAGAGAAUUGAAGGGAAGCUAGGGAUUGUUAUCGAUACCAUUAAAGAACAUGGCAUUGUUUUUGUUCCUUGAUUUGGCAUUUUCAUUACCAAGAAUGGUCUGUGUUCUGUUUUGCAUAAUGGUUCAAGAACACAUAGUUGUUACAAAGACAGUGGAGUAUUAAAAGAUGAUUAUAUAAUUAUAUUAUUGUAUGUACACUUUAUUUCUUCUUGUCACAAGACAUGUAUCUAAUCAAUAUCUCUUCAAAAACACUUUCCUCACAAGGAAUAUGAAUCCCUCCUUCAUGUUCAUAACCAAACUCGUCCGCUACUUCUUCCAUCAAAACUUUAAAUUCAGGAUACUGAAGAUACUUGGUCGGUAUAACAAACCUCUGCAUCUCAUCCCCCACGUAGACCGCAAGAUGCCCUCUCGGUACACCGUUUUGGUCUCUGGCUCGUCUCCUACCAUCAGAUAACUCCCCUGAGAGAAGACUGGCCUUUAUGUUCGUUUCAGACCUUCUGUUUCUUCUCUUCUCCUGGUUCUUGAGACGUACGAUGAAAUCUAGCGAUAUCAUUUUUGUCGUAUGAUUCAAAAGAUAGCAAAACCAAACGGAAAAAUUGUGUCCUGAGAAAAAGUUCAAAAAAGGAUUUUAUUUAAUCAAAGUCUAAUGACUUUUUCAUAUGAUAGAUCAUAGAACUGUAAAGAUCUUCUUGAAGUUGUUAUCUUCAUAGAAAAAAAUAAAUAAAGAACAAGCUAGGUUAUAGAAGCCCUAGUCGUUCUUGUUUCUUUAUUUUGUUUGUUUUUAUGAUCUGUCUACCUUUUAUGUCUUUUGGUUUCUUGGACAAUAAGCUACGUAAGAAGACUAUUAUUGGCAACACCAACAAAAGCAUACUCGUCCGUACCAUACAGUUGGUACGAGGUUAUUGUUUGGUGAAUCCAGUUCACAAAUCUAGACCAAAACUUUCGCGUUACCAACUAAAUUUUUUAUUAAAGUAAAAAUAGGCAUCAACCAUCUCGACAGUUCAUAUAUCUUAUGCAAUAACUUUCAUAUUUUUUAAGUCGAUCACAUUAUUUAUGCACAUCAUUUCAUUUAAUGUGCACAAGCGUGUUCAAUAGCUGAAACAGUUUGCUUCACAUCCACUCCCAUAUUGCAGAUAUUGGCAAGCGCUCCUGUAUACUUCAAUCCGUAAUCCAUCGUUGCUCCACAGUGAUUCUUGAAGCUAUUAACCUGCGAUUUUCAUUCGAUAAUAUAUACUAGUUUAAUAGUUGUUGCGUAGAGCACAAGUAAACAAGAUUUGAGAUGUGGUUGGUUGUUACCAGAGUCUUGAAGCAAUCCCAGUCGUCUACAAGAGGUUGUCCUGUUGUUCUUGUGGAAAUUAAGAGAUUUGAGACAUUGGUUUGCUUAAGUGAAAGUUUAAGAAUCUCCACAAUGUUCUGAUCGAUUUGUCUCCUAUGAUUCAUUUCUUCAAACAGCUUCUUCUCAAGUGCUUGUCUUUCAGGUGACUCCAUUGGAGAUCUUUGAAUCUGAGAGAUAGAUAGUGAAACAUCAAAAACAUAUAUAUGUUUAUUAUUCAAUCUUGAAAGAUGAGACUUCACCUUGCUCUUGAGAUAUAACAAAGGGAUAUCGCGAGUAUUGACCGAGCUUGAAUUAGAGAUUGGUGAAGCAGUGAAUCCAGCAGAAGUGAAGUUUUCGUUUUCAGGAUUGGUUCCAAUGUAAGAGACAAGAUAGUCUUUAAGAAGCGCCUUUGAUCCGAAACGGCUUACAUGAGAACUCGUCCCUGGUUCAGCAUCAGGACCUGUUCUUCUCUUUACAGCUUGGUAUUGCUGCUUCAAUGUCUCUUUACUCAUGUCAUGAAGCUCACUGUUCCCCCCCCAAAAAACACAAAACAGAGAAGUGUUUCUCAAAGUCUUGAAGAACAAUCAAAUCAUUUGAUAUUACAUACAGAUUUGAGUCUUUUUUUGGGUUGAAGUACCUGUCCUCAAGCCAAGAGACGCUAAAUGUAUCGCCGAGACAAACACCAUUAUAUUCAGGAGGAGGAGGAGGAUAUUCACCAGGACAGUAGAUUCCAAAACUGCUCUCUGUCGCAUUAGAAGCAGUUACUGCAAGUAUGUUUAGACUGGUCUUUAAAAUCCCUUCAAACAUACUUCCAGACUCACAUGCUUCAACAUAAAUCACCUAAACAUCACACACACACAGAAAACAACUCAAAGAUUCAAGAACAGAACACUAUAUAUAUAAAAAGAUGCUCGAACACACUAGAAAGGAUGUUUCUAGUUGGGGUUGAACCAACUCUCAGGCCAAGAGAGAGAGAUGACGAUGAAUGAGUUGAGUUAUUAGUACCAUCUUCUUGUAUCUUUUAAGCUUAUGCAUCUUCUCCAAGACUUUAAUGAAAUCUUUUGCAUGGAUAUCUUCACCAUCUGGCAUCGCUGAGAAUAAUAAACAUUGACCAAGAAAUCCUGAGAGAUAGAUAGUGAAACAUCAAAAACAUAUAUAUGUUUAUUAUUCAAUCUUGAAAGAUGAGACUUCACCUUGCUCUUGAGAUAUAACAAAGGGAUAUCGCGAGUAUUGACCGAGCUUGAAUUAGAGAUUGGUGAAGCAGUGAAUCCAGCAGAAGUGAAGUUUUCGUUUUCAGGAUUGGUUCCAAUGUAAGAGACAAGAUAGUCUUUAAGAAGCGCCUUUGAUCCGAAACGGCUUACAUGAGAACUCGUCCCUGGUUCAGCAUCAGGACCUGUUCUUCUCUUUACAGCUUGGUAUUGCUGCUUCAAUGUCUCUUUACUCAUGUCAUGAAGCUCACUGUUCCCCCCCCAAAAAACACAAAACAGAGAAGUGUUUCUCAAAGUCUUGAAGAACAAUCAAAUCAUUUGAUAUUACAUACAGAUUUGAGUCUUUUUUUGGGUUGAAGUACCUGUCCUCAAGCCAAGAGACGCUAAAUGUAUCGCCGAGACAAACACCAUUAUAUUCAGGAGGAGGAGGAGGAUAUUCACCAGGACAGUAGAUUCCAAAACUGCUCUCUGUCGCAUUAGAAGCAGUUACUGCAAGUAUGUUUAGACUGGUCUUUAAAAUCCCUUCAAACAUACUUCCAGACUCACAUGCUUCAACAUAAAUCACCUAAACAUCACACACACACAGAAAACAACUCAAAGAUUCAAGAACAGAACACUAUAUAUAUAAAAAGAUGCUCGAACACACUAGAAAGGAUGUUUCUAGUUGGGGUUGAACCAACUCUCAGGCCAAGAGAGAGAGAUGACGAUGAAUGAGUUGAGUUAUUAGUACCAUCUUCUUGUAUCUUUUAAGCUUAUGCAUCUUCUCCAAGACUUUAAUGAAAUCUUUUGCAUGGAUAUCUUCACCAUCUGGCAUCGCUGAGAAUAAUAAACAUUGACCAAGAAAUCGCCGAUUAGUAUAAUCAUGAGAAACAUCUAAAUGCUAGAUGUAGAUUGGUGGUAAAAUAAUACAUAGUAAACCAGGAGCUCCAUGGUCAGCAUAGUAGAUGAAUAUACUAUCAUUAGGACCACUUUUCACAACUUUGCCACUUCCUCCUGUGAUGCCACUUUCGUUUCCAAGUAUCACAUUAUAAAAGUUCUUCACAUUAACAGCCUCUUUAGUGUAGUCCUAUAUCAACCAACAAAAUCUAAAUAUGUUGAUUCAUUUAUAAAGUGCCCAAAAGUGAUGAGAAAAUAAUAACCUUAGGAACGCCUUCAUAAACAUCUCCACCAUCAGGUCUAUUGAUGAUAACUCCAGGCCUGGGAUUCUCAGGGUUAAACGCGAUAUCAUCAUACAUAAACACUAUAAUGUUUUCAUCUUUUAGACCCCCUUUUCGCAGAACUUGAUAUGCAUGGCAUAUGUCAGCCUGUGAAGCAAAACAACAGUAGAUUUAGUUCAUAGAAUCUCUUCAGGACCACCUUUUCUUCUUAUGGUUAGAACUUUUGAUGUAAAUCUCAUCUCAUCGCUGCAACAAUUUCAUAUCAAGAAAAAAAAACACUUUCAUGGAGGCUUAAACAUCACCACCAUCAGGUAACUCUUUAACUCUUAGCUUCAGCCUAAGUUUUUGUGUUCUUUCACAAGUUAUGCAAGGAGCUAGUUUUAAAUGAAUAAAGAAGGAUAAAGUGAAGUUUCUGUUUAUUAGAAUUUUGAUCCUCGGUUAUAUAUGGGACUUUUACUCUUUGUAACGAGGUUGAUGAACGAGUCCAGUACUUUUAAAAAGAUGAUCCUUGUAAGUUCUUGCUGAUGGUUGUUUGGGUUGACUAAACUUUUUUAGCUUGUGAAAUGGUAGAAUCGUGUCUGAAAUUUUUCGAUCCUUGAUUGUCGAUUACACAUAGACUCAAAAAUAAACGUUGAUCAUUGAAAGUUUGGGAUCAAGUUCUCAGCUUUUUGAUUCUCUUAUGGACUAAGGUUUUAGCUUUACCCUUUUUGGGUUAGGUAGUAUUAUUAUUAUGUAAUCAAUCACCUUGUCUGAAAAUUUUGAAUUUGUUUUGGUUGAUGUAUAGAAAGUAUGACGACGCAGAGCGCUAUGAGGAUGGUGGAAGGUGAUCAUGUAAAAAGUUGGCAGGCUUCCUCUAGGGAUCCCACUGGGAUAUUUGGUUCACAUGAUAUGGCUGUUGAAGAUUUAAGGUUCCUUAUGGAAAGAAAUAGAUUGGAUAGUAGUGGAAGUGAUCAUACAGGUAAGAUCCCUAGUAGGAGUGGAAGCGCGCCGCCUAGCAUGGAAGGUUCAUUUGCAGCUCUUAGGAAUCUCUUGAAACAUCAGGAAGGUAGUUUUAGUAGGUCUAUUGAGAAUUAUGGCUCUGAAGAAGAGAUACGUAGCGAUCCUGGUUAUGUAGCUUACUAUUUGUCCAACAUCAACCUGAACCCGAGGCUCCCUCCUCCGUUGAUCUCACGUGAGAAUCAGCACUUGCUGCGUCAUUUGGGUGGUGAGGGUAAUAACCUGAGUCCAACAGCGUCUUGGGAUGAUAUGGGGAUAAGAUCUUCCUUGCUUGCUUCUAGAACUGCGCUUUCUACACAUAGAGAGGAGCCUGAGGACGAGGCUUCUUCUGGUGAGCAACUGACUUA
This 15076-nucleotide long non-coding RNA is filed under the name Brassica napus (rape). RNAcentral describes it as "long non-coding RNA (BNAP_LNC017743)". Lineage: Eukaryota; Viridiplantae; Streptophyta; Magnoliopsida; Brassicales; Brassicaceae. The record is from RNAcentral.